This is a long non-coding RNA of Anolis carolinensis (green anole), 414 nucleotides long. RefSeq lists it as uncharacterized. The transcript has 2 exons. The record is from RefSeq and is a predicted model, not a curated record. Lineage: Eukaryota; Metazoa; Chordata; Lepidosauria; Squamata; Anolidae.
CCUUCCCACGUGGCGCUUGUCACGUGAAGAGGGCCUGGCGAGGCAGUCGCUCCGCCUAUUCCUCUCUCCGCCUUUUUUAACCCCGUUUUUCCUGGACGCGGGGGUUUCAGAAUCCACAGACACAGGGAUGCUCGAGCCUUAUUGUGUACAGAGGUGUAAUACAAUGGAAUCACCAAAGAAUUUCUGCUGCUGUAUGCUCCAUUUCAGAGGAAGGAAGGAAGGAAGGAAGGAAGGAAGGAAGGAAGGAAGGAAGGAAGGAAGGAAGGAAGGAAGGAAGGAAGGAAGGAAGGACGGAAGGAAGAAAGGAAGGAAAUCGCCUUGGAGUAUUCCUUGUCUAAGAAAACCUGCUGGAAUUCAUGGGGUUGCCAUAAGUAGAUGUGUGAUGUGAAGGCACAAAUCUUACAUAACAUUGAA